UACAGAGGGGGCGAGCGUUGUUCGGAAUUACUGGGCGUAAAGGGCGCGUAGGCGGCCAACUAAGUCAGACGUGAAAUCCCUCGGCUUAACCGGGGAACUGCGUCUGAUACUGGAUGGCUUGAAUUCGGGAGAGGGAUGCGGAAUUCCAGGUGUAGCGGUGAAAUGCGUAGAUAUCUGGAGGAACAUCGGUGGCGAAGGCGGCAUCCUGGACCGAGAUUGACGCUGAUGCGCGAAAGCCAGGGGAGCAAACGGG
Molecule: ribosomal RNA, 253 nt
Filed under: uncultured bacterium
Lineage: Bacteria
Description: partial 16S ribosomal RNA
Rfam family: Bacterial small subunit ribosomal RNA
Source: RNAcentral